Molecule: RNA transcript, 4662 nt
Organism: Mangifera indica (mango)
Lineage: Eukaryota; Viridiplantae; Streptophyta; Magnoliopsida; Sapindales; Anacardiaceae
Gene name: autophagy-related protein 18h-like
Exons: 11
Source: RefSeq, a predicted model, not a curated record
AUAGCGCAAAACCAUCACACACGGGCAAGUACAAACAAACAAAACCGUCUCCGUUCAACGUCAAAAAACCACUCCAUUUUAUUUCAUUUCCCCUUUUUUUUUUUUUUUUCAAAAUUUAAACUCAACCACCGCUACCACCACCACAACCACCGAUUCUAUUUCUCGCGGAAACUUUUGAAAUUCUCGUGAGCGACGAUUUAUGAUCGCCUGGUUGACUCGCCGGUGACGCUCCGGUGGCCAGUCAAUUCUUUGACUAUUGUGCGUUGACUAUGAAGAGCAAUCACAAUAACAUUAAUAGCAACGGAAAUCAUAAUAUUAUAAAUCAUAAGAACGGCAAAUUGAUUCCGAGUUCGUUGAAAUUCAUUUCAUCUUGUAUUAAAACCGCUUCUUCCAGUGUCAGGUCAGCUGGCGCCUCUGUUGCCGCUUCCAUUUCCGGCGAUUUUCGUGAGAAUAAGGACCAGGUACUGUGGUCUUCAUUCGACAGACUAGAGCUAAGUCCAUCUUCCUUCAAACGUGUUCUUUUACUUGGAUACUCCAAUGGUUUUCAAGUUCUUAACAUUGAAGAGGCCUCUAAUGUCAGAGAACUUGUUUCAAGGCGGGAUGAUCCAGUUAUUUAUUUACAGAUGCAACCCCUCCCUGCAAAGUCUGAGCACCAUGAAGGAUAUAGAAAUUCCCAUCCUUUACUCCUAGUUGUGGCAUGUGAUGAAUCAAAGAGCAGUUCAGGUUUACCUACAGGGAGAGAUGGGCUGGUAAAAGAUGGUUAUGAUGAGCCUCAGACAGGAAACCUUGCCACUGCUCCCAGAGCUGUUCGAUUUUACUCACUAAGAUCUCACAACUAUGUGCAUGUUUUGAGAUUCCGGUCAACUGUUUAUAUGAUUAAAUGCAGUCCUCGAAUAGUGGCUGUGGGUCUUGCCUCUCAAAUAUAUUGCUUUGACGCUCUCACUCUUGAAAAUAAGUUUAGUGUCCUCACUUAUCCUGCCCCUCAGUUGGGAGGCCAAGGAGUGCUUGGGGUUAAUAUUGGAUAUGGUCCAAUGGCUGUGGGUCCCCGAUGGUUAGCUUAUGCCUCUAACAACCCAUUGCUCCCAAAUACAGACCGCUUGAGCCCACAAAGUCUUACUCCUCCGGGUGUGAGUCCAUCAACUUCACCCAGCAAUGGAAGUCUGGUGGCUUGGUAUGCUAUGGAAUCAAGUAAGCAGUUAGCUGCAGGUUUGAUAAAUUUGGGUGACAUGGGCUAUAAAACUUUGUCUAGAUACUAUCAGGAUAUUGUCCCUGAUGGUUCUAGUCCUCCUUUAUCUUCCAAUUCAAGCUGGAAAGUUUCAUGUGGUGCCUCUCAUUUGGCCGAAACUGAUAUUGCUGGGAUGGUUGUUGUGAAAGAUUUUGUUUCCAGAGCUGUCAUAUCACAGUUUCGGGCCCAUACCAGUCCAAUUUCUGCUUUAUGUUUUGAUCCUAGCGGGACUUUAUUGGUGACUGCAUCAAUACAUGGAAAUAAUAUAAAUGUUUUCCGGAUCUUGCCCUUCUCAAAACAUCGAACAUCCACAGUCUCUCAAAACUAUGAUUGGAGUUCUUCUCAUGUGCACCUUUACAAGCUCCAUCGUGGCAUGACAUCAGCUGUGAUACAAGAUAUUUGUUUUAGUAAUUAUAGCCAGUGGAUUGCCAUUGUUACUUCCAGGGGAACUUGCCACAUUUUUGUUCUUGCCCCUUUUGGAGGUGAGACCGUGCUUCAAAUACAAAAUUCUAAUUUAGAUGGGCCUUCUCUCACACCAGUCCUUUCUCUACCGUGGUGGUCUGGUCCAUCUUUCAUGACAAAUCAACACUUGUUUCCUUCACCACCGCCAGCACCUGUUACACUCUCUGUGGUCAGUAGAAUAAAAAUUAAUAAUUCGGGCUGGCUUAAUACAGUUAGCAAUGCUGCAUCUUCUGCAGCAGGGAGGGCCUCCAUUCCAUCUGGUGCAGUAGCUGCUGUCUUUCAUAGUUCUGUGUCUCAGGAUUUGCAACCUGCUCACUUAAAAGUCAAUGUUUUGGAGCACCUAUUGGUUUACACUCCUUCUGGUAAUGUUGUUCAGUAUAAGUUACUAUCAUCUUCUGGAGGAGAGACAAGUGAAACCUCUCUGAGAACAGGACAUAGUUAUUCUGCAGAGAUACAUGAUGAGGAAUUAGGAGUUAAAGUUGAACCUGUUCAAGGGUGGGAUGUGUGUCGAAGAACAGAUUGGCCUGAAAGAGAGGAGUGCAUUUCUGGAAUUACUGUUGAUCAGAAUGAAGUUUCAGAGAUGACUAUGGAUACCUCUGAUUGUGAAGAUAAUGAUAAUGGGCAUAAGGAGAAUGUAAAACUCCAUGACCGAUCUCACUUACAUAUCUCCAAUGCAGAGGUACAGAUGAGCUCCGGACGGAUACUUAUCUGCCAAAAUUCUAAGAUACAUUUCUAUACAAUGAAUCCUUUGGACACUGAUGAGCAAAAUUCCACUAAAGAACAAACUGGUGGAGAGAUUGAAGUUGAGAAAAUACCUGUUCAUUAUGUUGAGAUUAGGCGGAAGGAUUUAUUGCCUGUGUUCGACCAUUUUCACAGGAUUCAAUCUGACUGGAUUGAGAGGGGCAUAUUCAGAGGAAGAUCAACAGUUUCAUCUUCAAAAUCUUAUGAAGCUAAAGAGAACUAUUUUGAAGAAAGUGAUAUUUCACAAUCAAAGUCAAUGUCACCUCGCUUGGUUGAAAACUCAGAUGUUGGAUCAUCAAAGAUUACUUAUCCAUCUGUAAAUGAGAAUGAAAAUUUUGCUACAGAAAGAGGCAGGUUUAAUUUAGCAUCACAUACAGUAGAUCAAAUCUUGCUCAACAAAGAAAAUGCUUCAGUUUUGUUGAAACAAUCUGCUGUCAAUGGUUCUGCAAUAGAGGAUAGCAAGUUUUCGAAUAUUGUAUCAUCUUUAACAAGUGGCUCACAUUCUGCUGGAGGAGCCAUAGCAAAAGAAGUUCAGUCAUCAACCAGUAAUGGGACUGGUAAAAUUGUAAACAUAAGUUCUAAUCAUUUCAAAUUGAGUACUAACACUAUAGAGGACAGCCUAGUAAAAGCGUCACUGGAUUUUGAAUACUUUUUUGAAGAACCCUGUAAAGCCUCAGCCUCAAGUGAAUGUCGUGAAUUAGUUGGAAUUAUCACUGAUGUUGACAGCAGCAACAGUCCUUGUGAUAAAGAGAAAUUUGAAGAAGACUGUGACAAUGAUAAAUCUGAGGACGAUUGUGAUACUGAUGACAUGCUUGGAGGUGUUUUUGCCUUCUCAGAAGAAGGUUGAUUUAUACCUUCUUUGUGUCGUCAUGAUUAAAAUAUAUGUGGAAAGGUUGGUCAAAGGUUGGCCUUACGGAGGGUGAGAUACUAAUUGAUAUAAUUUCGAGUUAUUGCCUACAACAAUGGAUCUGCCACUGACUGAAUGAUACAAGACGGGAUGCCUGGUUUUCACUUUCUAAUUCUAUUCAGGUGAGCUCACAAAAUUAAGCUGUAGAUAGAGUUAUAUUCUUUCAACUAUUAUCAGAACUUCCUGCUGUUAUGGUUUUAUGCCUGGGGGACUCUGGAGCAUCUUCUCCUCAUCGUAGGUAAAUUUUAUUCUGAAGGUGUGUUCAUUAAUAAAAACAUUGGAUACCCAGACAUCCUAUAACUUUGUAUUCUUGUGGCAUGCCAUGGCAUUGGAAUAGCAGCUACAUUAAUGGCUUGAAAUGUGCUGUGUUUUGGCCCCCACUUAGAUGCCUUCAUAUCAAAAUGUAGAGGUAGAGAUAGAGAGGCACCCAGAGUGGUCCCUUUAACCUCCAUAGGAGACUGUUGUCCGCGUAGAAAUUAUGCUCCCACUACAGAAUUAAGCUACCUCAUGGCCUGAAAACACUGCCCCCCCUUUGUAUAUACUUCGCUUUCGCUUAUGCUUUGUCUGGUUGUGAUUCGGUUGUUUUGGUUUUCAUUCAUUGCAUUUUAUCAAUUAUCAUUCACAACCCUUAUUUUGUCAAGGGUCGGUGCUUGUUGACUACACAAAUGACUAACUUAUUUGGUAAUGUUAUCUAGUGUCAAUAUCUUAUCUAUGACUAGGGCUAGAUCUGAAUAAAGUUGGCUUGAUUUCUUAGUUUGAACAAGUUAAAGUUGAGUUGAGAUAGCUUUAGUUUAAGUUUGAAUCUAACAAGUUAUCGAAAAAUUAUUGACAGAUUCAUUUUGUACAAUAAGUUUUCAUUUUUUUUAAUAACUUUUCUUCUUCUUUAAUAAUUCUUUUUUUUUUUUCAUUUUUUAAGAUUUUGUCUUCUUUUUCAACACUUUGUGAUAAUUAUUCUGUCAAUGUCAUCACCACUAUGAGUUUGAACUGAGUUUUGUUUGGAUUCGAAUAAGUUCGAAUCUAAUCCAUCUAUCUAAUGUGAGUUGCUACAUUUUUCAGCCCCAAACAACAUCAGCACCUCAAUUAGUUCACCUAGUCCCUUUUUUGAUGGUUUGAUUGGUUGGAUUUCUUCAAUGAUGUUUUGAUUUGAUUAUAAUGCAUAGCUUUUGUUACAAGAGCGUCUGUCUUUAAUUUCACGCGGGGCCUCCUUUCAAAAAUGUCAUUAUAGAAUUUGGGCUUUUGCCUAUUUCUGAAAACGACAACAUCACAAUUUACAAUAGAUUGCGGUCAGAUUGAAGUACCAAAUUCAAAAUUAACAAGAAUUUCCAUA